RNAcentral lists this long non-coding RNA (240 nucleotides) under Elaeis guineensis (African oil palm). RNAcentral describes it as "long non-coding RNA (EGUI_LNC053518)". The record is from RNAcentral. Lineage: Eukaryota; Viridiplantae; Streptophyta; Magnoliopsida; Arecales; Arecaceae.
GCUCGUAGUGAGGCUACUGGAGUUUGAUUGACACAUAAAUAUGGAUCUCAAUGAGCUCUUGUAGUGGAUAUUGACAACAAUUGGUCCACUAUAGGAGUAGGAUGUGCAUCAAGAUGGGAUCUAUCAAUCUGGAUAGAAAGGAGUAGUCUUAUGAGAUUUGAGAAGCUAAGUUCGAGAAUCUAUGGCUAUAGUAGUGUGAUUGAUAGAAAGGAGUUUUCAUAGAAGUCAUAACUGGACUUG